RNAcentral lists this ribosomal RNA (228 nucleotides) under uncultured bacterium. RNAcentral describes it as "partial 16S ribosomal RNA". It matches the Rfam family "Bacterial small subunit ribosomal RNA", at positions 15 to 244 of the family's 1533-position model. The record is from RNAcentral.
GAUCAUGGCUCAGGAUGAACGCUGACAGAAUGCUUAACACAUGCAAGUCGAUGGGGAAGUGGUGCUUGCACCAUGGUAACCAUGGCAGACGGGUGAGUAACGCGUAAGGAACUUGCCUGCGGGACCGGGAUAACAGCAGGAAACUGCUGACAAGACCGGAUAAGGUCAUUAAGCCGCAUAGCUUAGUGAUGAAGGGAGACGCCUGCGGAGAGCCUUGCGUCCUAUUAG